AUUGUGCCCCUCUACUCAGCUCUUGUGAGGCCCCAUCUGGAGUACUGCCUCCAGGCCUGUGGUCCCCAGUACAGGAAGGACGUGGAGCUUUUGGAGCGGGUCCAGAGGAGGGCCACUAAGAUGAUCAGAGGGCUGGAGCACCUCUCUUGCAAAGAAAGGCUGAGGGAACUGGGCUUGUUUAGUUUGGAGAAGAGAAGGCUCCAGGGAGACCUCAUUGUGACCUUCCAGUACUUGAAGGGAGCAUAUAAACAGGAGUGGAAAUGGCUGUUAAUGAGCGUGGAUAGUGAUAGGACAAGGGGGAAUGGUCUUAAACUGAGACAGGGGAGGUUUAGGUUAGAUAUUAGGAGGAAGUUUUUCACACAGAGGGUGGUGACGCACUGGAACAGGUUGCCCGAGGAGGCUGUGGAUGCCCCAUCCCUGGAGGCAUUCAAGGCCAGGCUGGAUGUGGCUCUGGGCAGCCUGGUCUGGUGGUUGGCGACCCUGCACAUAGCAGGGUCCUUUUCAAUUCAUUGUGAUCCUUUUCAACCCAGGCCAUUCUGUGAUUCUAUGAUUCUAUGAGUCUGUGAUUCUAUGAUUCUGUUAUUCUAUGAAUAGGGGGAGCCUUCAUGAGCUGUGGCUGUAGGAGUCUUAUUCACUCCUGAACAGAUCCGACAGCAGUUGUAAGAACAUGCUUGCAGGUUGGUG
RNAcentral lists this long non-coding RNA (684 nucleotides) under Gallus gallus (chicken). The record is from RNAcentral. Lineage: Eukaryota; Metazoa; Chordata; Aves; Galliformes; Phasianidae.